RNAcentral lists this ribosomal RNA (440 nucleotides) under uncultured bacterium. RNAcentral's name for it is "partial 16S ribosomal RNA". It matches the Rfam family "Bacterial small subunit ribosomal RNA", at positions 338 to 795 of the family's 1533-position model. The record is from RNAcentral.
CCUACGGGAGGCAGCAGUGGGGGAUAUUGCACAAUGGGGGAAACCCUGAUGCAGCGACGCCGCGUGUGGGAAGACGGUCUUCUGGAUUGUAAACCACUGUCCCCAGGGACGCAAAUGACGGUAUCUGGGGAAGAAGCUCCGGCUAACUACGUGCCAGCAGCCGCGGUACUACGUAGGGAGCACGCGUUGUCCGGAAUUACUGGGGGUAAAGGGCGCGUAGGCGGGGAUGCAAGUUGGUGGGAAAGACUACCGGGUCAACCGAUAGUGGCACUGGAAACUGCAACUCUUGAGUGAAGUAGAGGCGGGCGGAAUUCCUAGUGUAGCGGUGAAAUGCGUAGAUAUUAGGAGGAACGCCAGUGGCGAAGGCGGCCUGCUGGGCUUUUACUGACGCUGAGGCUCGAAAGUGUGGGGAGCAAACAGGAUUAGAUACCCGGGUAGUC